UACGAAGGGGGCUAGCGUUGUUCGGAUUUACUGGGCGUAAAGCGCACGUAGGCGGUUUGUUAAGUCAGGGGUGAAAUCCCACAGCUCAACUGUGGAACUGCCUUUGAUACUGGCAAGCUAGAGUCCGGAAGAGGUAAGUGGAACUCCUAGUGUAGAGGUGGAAUUCGUAGAUAUUAGGAAGAACACCAGUGGCGAAGGCGGCUUACUGGUCCGGAACUGACGCUGAGGUGCGAAAGCGUGGGGAGCAAGCAGG
Molecule: ribosomal RNA, 253 nt
Filed under: uncultured bacterium
Lineage: Bacteria
Description: partial 16S ribosomal RNA
Rfam family: Bacterial small subunit ribosomal RNA
Source: RNAcentral